GCACAGAGGGAACAGCUCUCCGAAGAGAGAAUCCCCCCUGCUAAGAAUUUAGCUUCUGCAACAGAGCGGGGGCUGAAAGGAACAGAAUCAGAAAACAGUAAAGGAGGAAAAGAAGCAGAGCCAGAACUUGAACCACAACCUGCUCUUAUCUGUUGCAUCUUAACACCUCUCUCAGGCCGCCAGCCACUUGCACACCUUCGGAGUCCCGGGCUUCCUGUGACAGCCCAGCCCUCUGUCUUCGGCUUUCUGGGCUUGAGAACCACCGUCUACGCUCCAGCCGUAUAGGAUGAAGAGCCAGGAAAAAGGUAGCUGAUGCCAGUCUGUGUGAGUUAACUAGUAGGCUGGGCUUGCAAGCAAGAAAUCUG
Leopardus geoffroyi (Geoffroy's cat) is the source of this 365-nucleotide long non-coding RNA. RefSeq lists it as uncharacterized. The transcript is spliced from 3 exons. Lineage: Eukaryota; Metazoa; Chordata; Mammalia; Carnivora; Felidae. The record is from RefSeq and is a predicted model, not a curated record.